Molecule: transfer RNA, 72 nt
Filed under: Phrynosoma platyrhinos (Desert horned lizard)
Lineage: Eukaryota; Metazoa; Chordata; Lepidosauria; Squamata; Phrynosomatidae
Description: tRNA-OTHER
Source: RNAcentral
GCCAGUGUGGCAUAGUGGUUUGAAUGUUGGACUAAGACUCUGCAGACCAGGGUUCGAUUCCCAACUCAGCCA